CAGGCCUGUUCUGCCCCUCACCCUACCAUCAAUGAACAGGCUGGGGGUGCCAAGACACCUGACCAGGUGACCAAAGGGAUAUCCCACACCAUGUGGUGUCAUGCUCAGCAAUAAAGUUGGGGAAAUAGGAAGGAAGGGGAGGACAGACAGAGUUUGCCUUCACAAGUCACUGUUUUGCUUAUGGGAGCCUGGUUUUCCUGGAGAUGUCAGAACCCCUGUCCAUUGCAAGUGGUUUUCCUCCACUUCUCUCACCCAUCCCACCAAAGGGGAGGGAAUGAGUGACUGCAUGGGGUUGAGUUGCAAGCUGGGCAACGGCCACCACAUGGUACAUCUCUUGUUUUCUCUACUGUGAAAGUGAACCGAGCCUUUGGCGUUGGAGCUGGAUUGUCUGCUCUGGUGAAACGAUGACGCCUGAUUGAAUUUCCUCUUCGACCUGACAGAUUGCAUGGACCAGCUCGUCUGUCCAAGUGUGCCAUUGGAAUCAGCUCCUGGC
Molecule: long non-coding RNA, 493 nt
Organism: Passer domesticus (house sparrow)
Lineage: Eukaryota; Metazoa; Chordata; Aves; Passeriformes; Passeridae
Exons: 3
Source: RefSeq, a predicted model, not a curated record